CUUUUGCUGGCGACCGGCGCACGGGUGAGUAACACGUAUCCAACCUGCCGAUAACUCGGGGAUAGCCUUUCGAAAGAAAGAUUAAUACCCGAUGGCAUAAUUAGACCGCAUGGUCUUAUUAUUAAAGAAUUUCGGUUAUCGAUGGGGAUGCGUUCCAUUAGGCAGUUGGUGAGGUAACGGCUCACCAAACCUUCGAUGGAUAGGGGUUCUGAGAGGAAGGUCCCCCACAUUGGAACUGAGACACGGUCCAA
This 251-nucleotide ribosomal RNA is filed under the name uncultured bacterium. Its description in RNAcentral is "partial 16S ribosomal RNA". It matches the Rfam family "Bacterial small subunit ribosomal RNA", at positions 78 to 334 of the family's 1533-position model. The record is from RNAcentral.